GACAUAGGUCGCAAACGUUGUCCGGAAUUAUUGGGCGUAAAGGAUGCGUAGAUGGUUAAGAAAGUUAUCAGUGGUAAAUCAAGGCUCAACCUUGUGGAAGUUGAUAAUACUACUUGACUAGAGUGCAUAAGAGGUUAACGGAAUUCCAUGUGGAGCGGUGAAAUGCGCAGAUAUCAGGAAGAACACCCGUGGCGAAAGCGGCUCUCUGGGACGGUACUGACGCUGAGACGCGAAAGCGUGGGGAGCGAACAGG
Molecule: ribosomal RNA, 253 nt
Filed under: uncultured bacterium
Lineage: Bacteria
Description: partial 16S ribosomal RNA
Rfam family: Bacterial small subunit ribosomal RNA
Source: RNAcentral